Molecule: long non-coding RNA, 1397 nt
Organism: Ixodes scapularis (black-legged tick)
Lineage: Eukaryota; Metazoa; Arthropoda; Arachnida; Ixodida; Ixodidae
Exons: 3
Source: RefSeq, a predicted model, not a curated record
GACAGCAGACAUUUGUCAAGGUGUUCUGACUCUAAGAAGAUUUUCGUGUCGACCAAGCAUCAAUGUGUUGACUUUGGGCGUCGUGCGGACUAUGCCCCGAGAGGCCAUGCCUCCUAAGCAAGUGGCAUGCGCUCCACCGGACGACGUUUCGGACGAGGACAGCCGAGACCCAGGUGACUUUAUUCGUGCUUUACAGCAGUAUACUGCUAGGAUGGAGCAAGUGGUCGCGACUGACCGAGAGACGGCAAACCAACAAUUUCACCGUCUCCUCCAAGAGAACCAACGCAUUGCUGCGGAAUCACAAGCAUCCAUGGCUGACGCCCUGGCGACAGCUGUCGGCAAAGCUCUCGCUCACAAUUAAUGUCGCCGCCGGAGCGGUGCCGGCCCAGUCCACCCCCCAGUCCCAGCCGCCCCCCGUCGCGGCUUUCGGUGGACUCAGACUCCAGCCUGGACUGGAGCCCCAACCAGGCGUCGCCGCCCCGACCACCGACCCCUGGUCAAUGGCCAGUCAGCUCGAAUUCCAGCCCUCUGCCGCUACCCAGACCGCAGCAACUGCCCCGCCCGAGCCCCGAGUCUUCGCCCCCUACGCGGCCCCCGACCCCGGCCGCUUUUUUGCAACACCUUACGUUGCAUACCACCCCUACACCGUCCUCAACCCGCAAGUCGCUGGACGCCAGCGUGUCUUUACAGUCAGCGACCCGCCAGCCAAGCGCGACAUUGCAGAAGCCUUUGUGCACGUGCAACAAGUGUCACAGCAUUCCCAGCACAUCGGCAGACGCGAGAUCACAGAGCUACAGCUCCUCGAGUGUUUUGUGCAGUUGCGGGACUGCCGGUGCACGGGACCCCCUGUCCCAGCUCGACGCCCAGCGGCCACCAGGACGACGUCCCCUGACCGCACCGCCAGUCCCCCCAGAGGGCUCCGGGCUAGCACACGGAACCAACUGCCCCCCAAGUCGUCCAAAAAGACCAAAAAGUGAGCCCUCCAUGUUCCGACCGACCAGUUCACCGGGCCUUCCCCACCGACCUGUUCCGCCGGAACUCUCCCCGGACCUCCCGGAUUCGACUGCCCUGGGCCUUCCCCACGCCGGCCUUUCCCAGAGUUGUGGGCCGUCCUUUGUACCCUCCUGGUUGCUCCACCCCGGACCCUGGUCAGAUGCGACAACCAAGCAGUCGUCCGCGCCCUGACCCGUGGCCAUGGUCGUUCUUUUUCUGUACUUGAGGCCCUCACGGCCACUUUGCUUCUUUGUAAUAAAGGGUCUUGGAUCUCCUGGAUCUCAACGGACUGCAACCCAGCAGACGGUCCCUCCCGACUCAACCGCACAAUUUCCCGUGGGUCGGGUAGGGACCGCCGCUAGAGGGCCUGCCCUACUUAAAGGGUUGUUCUGGCCGCUGGAGCU